AAAACUUUUGUUUCUUUUUUUUCAACACUUUUGCAAAUUUAGGAAGCAUUAAAUUCAUUCAUUCUUUUUUUGUCAUGUUUUGUUGUAUACAUGCAGCACAAAGAAGACACUGUGGAUUUGGUUGCGUUUUAUUCAGUUGGGAGUCAUCAUAUUUAGCACAGUGGGCAGUUCUGAUUGGCCGAUGCUGAAUCAUCCAUAAUGACGGACUUGCAGAGAGCAAACGAAUCAGAGAUCGUCUGAUGAUUACGUACAGAACGUGCAUGGGUAACAUUGACACACUCGUAUUAUAAUGUCCGUGAUGGAGUGGCAUGAAGGCAGAAUCUGAAGAUGUAGAGAUGAAUUGCCCAUGGCCAUAUCUGUCCAAGUUCAUGCAUCUUAAUGAAACAAUUGGUAAAGCUUACUAGUCAUAUGUAAUCUGUGCAAACCAAAGAUUUGUCUGUCUGCAUUGAAAACUUCAAGCAUAUAAAAGUGAGUAAUAGCCAUUUUAAAUUAAUCAUUCUGCUUUAUUUCUGUGUUAUUUCAAAAUCUAAUUUGUCCUGCCACAGUUUUAUAACAAACCUAUAAGAACACUAAAGUUGUAUUUGUGCCAAUGCUUUAGACAGAAACAGAUAAAGAAAUCCAGAUAUAACUUAUAUACACUGUCAAAAAUAAAGGUACAAAGCUGUCAGUGGGGCAAUACCCUUUUAAAAAGGUCCUAAUAUGUACCAUUUAGGUACAAACAUGUAUCUUUGAACUGCCAAUAUGUACAUUUGAAGUACUAAUAUGCACUUUUUGGGCACAAAGGUGUACCUUUUUAAAAGGGUACUGUCCCAGGGACAACUUUGUACCUUUAUUUCUG
This is a non-coding RNA of Misgurnus anguillicaudatus (oriental weatherfish), 838 nucleotides long. NCBI's taxonomy places the organism in Eukaryota, Metazoa, Chordata, Actinopteri, Cypriniformes, Cobitidae. The record is from RefSeq and is a predicted model, not a curated record.